AUCUGGGGUGCGAUUGACGCUGAGGCUCGAAAGUGCGGGUAUCAAACAGGAUUAGAUACCCUGGUAGUCCGCACAGUAAACGAUGAAUGCUCGUUCUGGGCGACAGACAGUCCGGGACCGAGGGAAACCAUUAAGCAUUCCACCUGGGGAGUACGCCGGCAACGGUGAAACUCAAAGGAAUUGACGGGGGCCCGCACAAGCGGAGGAACAUGUGGUUUAAUUCGAUGAUACGCGAGGAACCUUACCCGGGCUUGAAAUGUACCUGACGGCGGAGAGAGACCUUCGCUUCCUUCGGGCAGGUAUGUAGGUGCUGCAUGGUUGUCGUCAGCUCGUGCCGUGAGGUGUCGGCUUAAGUGCCAUAACGAGCGCAACCCUUGCCGUCAGUUGCCAUCACGUAGAGGUGGGCACUCUGAGGGGACUGCCAUCGCAAGAUGUGAGGAAGGUGGGGAUGACGUCAAAUCAGCACGGCCCUUACGUCCGGGGCUACACACGUGUUACAAUGGGGGGCACAGCGCGCCGCUACCCGGCGACGGGAUGCGAAUCGUGAAAUCCCCUCUCAGUUCGGACCGGAGUCUGCAACCCGACUCCGCGAAGCUGGAU
RNAcentral lists this ribosomal RNA (600 nucleotides) under uncultured bacterium. RNAcentral describes it as "bacterial SSU rRNA". It matches the Rfam family "Bacterial small subunit ribosomal RNA", at positions 727 to 1331 of the family's 1533-position model. The record is from RNAcentral.